GAAAAUAUGGUAAGCUAUGUUAACAAGCCAUAUUAGAUAUCAAGCAUUAAUAUGGAAAUAAACCAGGUAACUCCUGUGUAAUUGAUCUUUGUGGGGACUUGGAGGAGGGAAGGUGAACCUAAACUUUAGCGUGUGCUAAACUUAAUUAAUGGUUAACUAAAUUCAUUCAAAAAUAUCUGUAACUUGUGGUCUGAUAGUGCUGGUUUUUGGAUAUGAAUUUGUCAUUAAGACUACCUGGGCUGACUCUCUUUUCGGACUCAGCCCACCUGCACCCAGGUGAAAUAAACAGCUUUAUUGCUCACACAAAGCCUGUUUGGUGGUCUCUUCACACGGACGCGCAUGAAAUUUGGUGCCGUGACGCGGAUCGGGGGACCUCCCUUGGGAGAUCAAUCCCCUGUCCUCCUGCUCUUUGCUCCAUGAGAAAGAUCCACCUAUGGCCUCAGUUCCUCAGACCGACCAGCCCAAGAAACAUCUCACCAAUUUCAAAUGCUACAAAUCCUGCCCUGAUUCUGGGGACCAUGCCUGUGGAGAUGCACAGUUCUACCAUUCAAAGUGACUAUCUGAAAAUACCUCCU
RNAcentral lists this non-coding RNA (575 nucleotides) under Pan troglodytes (chimpanzee). Lineage: Eukaryota; Metazoa; Chordata; Mammalia; Primates; Hominidae. The record is from RNAcentral.